Panicum hallii is the source of this 4731-nucleotide RNA transcript. RefSeq lists it as uncharacterized. The record is from RefSeq and is a predicted model, not a curated record. NCBI's taxonomy places the organism in Eukaryota, Viridiplantae, Streptophyta, Magnoliopsida, Poales, Poaceae. The transcript has 4 exons.
AGGGAAGGCGAGUCAGAGCGAACAAGUACAACAACAUCGAGACCGAUACGGAACGGAGAACGGCCGCGGCACCAACACCAAGCCCAACCCAACAGCAGCCAGCAACCUCGCACCACCACCACCACCUCCUCCGUCGCAGCAGCAGGCCUGCAGCCGCCGGCGCCGGCGCCGUCGAAGACCACCUGAACCCCCGCCGUCCCGACCCGGUAACCGGAGCGUCCCGCGAAAGCCCGCCUCGGCGGCGCCCGCGAUAGCUGCAGCAGCGCGUGGAGCCUGACGGGAGCAGCAGCAGCAGGGUCCGAUCGCUCCCUCCUCCCCCGCGCCCGCGCGUGCGCAGCAGCAGCAAAGUGACUUUUCAAGUUUGGCAGUGUAUAUCAGAGUUCAGAUUGGAAAAUUAAAGUUUUUACUGGGCAUUUUUGUGGGAUUCUACUUUGUAGUUCAGCUGUAUUUAUAUGGAAUCUCUUUCCUGAGAAAUGCCGUCCUCUACGCCACCAUCAGGGCAAUCAGCACCAAGCCUUCAACCAUUACCAUCAUCUGCAGCAGUACAGAGUACUCGUAUUGAUGUUCGUGAGAUCAAGUCCAAGAUUUUUAAAAGGAUUGGACCUGAACGAGCAAGGAAGUACUUUCAGCAGCUGGAGAGGUUCUUAUCUUCAAGAUUGAGCAAGAAUGAAUUUGAAAAGCUGUGCCUUGUGGCACUUGGCCGUGAGAAUCUCCCAUUGCAUAACCACCUCAUCCGUUCUAUCCUACAUAAUGCCAGUAGGGCAUGUGGCCCACCAGUAAUCAAUGACCCUAAGUUGGUCAGAGGUGCCACCAGUUCUGGCCAUGCAUUUGUUUCUCCUGUCUGGGACAAUAGUGGUGCUUUGAACCAGAAUUUCAAAGAGAACAAACCAUCAAGCAGAAGGGAAAAUGCAUUAUCUCAGAAGUCAUCACUGAAUCAUUAUGAGACUAUUAUUCAGGAGAAUGGUAUUCAUCAUUUGAGUGAUCUGAAGAGAUGUCCACAACUUCAAAAAGGUGACCAUCUGGAACCGCUUAUCAAGCGACCAUGUGUGGAGAAGGAACCAUUCAGUUUACACUCCCUGCAUAGCAAUGGGUCUGCUCUGCCUUCAGGAGAAAACCUGGGACGAGAAAUUAUACACCAAUCCCAUGGUCCAGUGCAAGCUCCACUUGGCAUUCAGUUACGUCCUGAUUGUUUCAGUGGGGCCCAAAAAUGUUUAUCCCUUGCUUCUUUCAGCUCAAAGGAUACCUCUGAUACCUGUAUUGACUUCGGUGAACUAUGUGAUACUUUGUCAGUGAAGAAGAGGAUGGACAAAAUAGCAGAAUCAGAAGGGUUAGAAGGGGUAUCAAUAGAGUGUGCCAAUUUGUUGAAUAAUGGUAUAGAUGCGUUCAUUAAGCAGUUGAUUGGGUCUUGUGUUGAAUUAGUGACAGCAGGGUCUCAACUUGGCAAACUAAGAAAUCAGGCAUUGAAGCAGCAGCUGCGCCGAAAGCUAAUAAAUGGUGUAUCACUGCAAAAUCAUAUUCCUGGGCAGGGUAGCAUUGUACCUUCAGAGACAAAUUCCAUCUCCUUACAGGACUUAAAGGCAGUGAUGGAAUUAAACCCUUGUUUGCUUGGAGUUAAUGCAUCACUGCUACUUGAGAAAAUCAAUUCGUACGACUAGUUGGAUGGAGCAAGUUGGAUUCAUGUCCUCACAAGAUUCUACGAUCUUGAUGAUGUGUCUUGCUUCAUGGCUGUAGUAGUCAGGCCAUAGUUCACUGAUGGGUGGUGAAAAAGGCAAGCGAAUUCUGUGCAGUAUCCUCAUUGUUUUGCAUCUCAGCUCCAGUGCAAUCUUCCAGAAUAAGCAAAGCUCUGCUUAUCUUCUGGUUGCUGUAUUUUAUGGCAUUUCAUGCACCGAUUCACCACUAUGGGCAAAGUGCUUCAGAGAGAACUAUGGUGCUGGACUCCAAACAAAUUUGAGGAGCCAUAUAACAGAUUUGAUCUUUGGCAUGAGGAUAUAUUCCUUACUAAGGUCAAGAUGUGCCUAAGUGGCCAUUAUUCUUUAGGAGCACUUCUGACCAACAGGAUCCAAUCAGAAUGGGAUAGCAGCCUGCACCAAUUUCAGAAAGGUCAUUCAGAAAGUUUCAAAUUGCCAAGAGGUUUUAUCCAAGUUCCCUAGAAGUUCCAUCCAAGUCUAAGUUUCGGGGAUUUUUUUUUUUUGGUAGUUUUGAGGAGGUUGGCCAUAUGGUUAAGGGAUCAUGUUUCUUCUUUACCUAUUACAAAAGAAGCAAACUAAUGAACACCUUUUAAGGAUGUAGAAGCUGUUAAUAUACUGGAAUCAAAUGAGGAAAGGGUAAAAAUUUCUGUGGAAUAUGAGGGAUCCACUUGAAAAUAGGUUUGAAUAGCUAAAAUGAGUAAAAUAAUAGUAAACUGUAUAUGUGAGGGCUCUGUUUACAUAAAAGCUGUGAACUAAAUUAUUUGUACUAUUUGUCUUAACAUGUGACAAAUCAAUAUAUUUGUCACUUCACUGUAAAAAUGUCAACGAAAACACCAAUUUAUCAAUGCAACCUAGUAUCUUCAAUCCUAACACAUUUGGGGUACAUUGUGCAUGUUGUCAAAUGCUCUUAAUUGGAUUAUGGGGCAAAUAUUGUCAUUUGGUACAAUUGCAGUAAAAUCUAGACAAGUAUUCAUUGUAGCACCAUACUGUUUGUGCAAGAGUGACGAGCCACAUCACAUUGUGAGUUGAGAACUAAAGAUAAGUUAGUUCCGAUGUUAGUUUGGAAGGUUUAUUUUUUGAUAUAUUCUAUGUAUUAGGAUUGUGUUUCUUAAGUCUAGAAAUUGUUUCUCACAUGUGAGGUUGGCUCAUCCCUGUAACAGAUAAGUUUCAUGCCCAAUAUGAAUGAUUCAACAAUAAUGAGUUGGUCUUAUAAAAUUCUUUCAGCCAAUUUAUGUUUCCCUUACAAUAACUGAAACCAUUCAAGCAUGUUGUCUGGCCUCUAUCAGGUAGUUAUCCCAUUGCACAUGCGUUGACAACAUCUGCAAAUAAAAAGUACAGAGUUGUCGCUGGAUUUCUGGCAUGAUAUAAUACAUAUAAUACAUAUGGAGAUCUUAAUACAAUGUGAUAGGGCUCACUCUCUGGAUGGUUUGAUGACUAUCCAGGACUCCAGGUUAAAAAGGUAAAUCUUAAUAUGCCACCGUUGCUUCCUGCUAAGCAAACAUUAGGCAGUGUCCUACGAGUUACACUAUAGCCACAAUCAUUCUGAGGAACUUUUCAAUCUCUUUGAUGCAUAUAGAGAUGCAGGAAAACUGCAUUGUGAACUUGCCUGAAGUUUACAUUGCAUAGUGUUCUGUAAUGAUCUUUUGAUCAUUGGUAUAAGAUAACGAAGUUGGUAGGUAGAUAAGAAAUAGAUCUGGAGGGAGAGAGAAGAUCUAUGUCAGAAUGAUUGCAUUACAUCUCAUUAUAUAGAUGUGCUUACAGCUAUAGUUAUUAGAUCUAAACAUCCUGGCUAAUAGAGGAGAUACCAAACAAUCUCAUAUAUUUUUGAGUUGAUAACCCUUGUUAAUCCUUGUUGUUGGGCCAAUUGUCAGUGUUAUUGCCUUUAUUCAUAAAUAUUGCCAUAUGGUUACUGUAGUGCAUGAUAAAGCUGUUGCAGGCACUGAUGCUUAGGUUACUAUCGCGCAAACACUUGAUGUCACAAUGACAUUUUGUUGCUUAGUUCAAUAUUUUAUUUUUAUGGCAGAAUGCAUGUUAGUAAACUGGAUUGCUUUAUGCUACCUGGAAGCAUCUUGAUGAUAUGUACAUAAUCUGGGUACAAAAAAAAAGGUAGUUCUGGGCCUAAUUCUUCCUCGAAGGAUAGACUAAUAAAAGGAGAGCAUUUACGCAAGUUUCCCUUUCCAUGUUGUUCAUAGAGGUGCUAUAUUCAUUUUCAUACUUAGUUUCAUGACCCUUGUCUCCUAUUGGGAUGAAAAAUGAGUGGCAUAAUUUAUAUUUAGAGUUGAGUGAAAUAUAGCCUUGAGAUUGGAGCUAUUUUUUUCUUUGUGCAUGAUUUGUUUAAAGCUCACUUGAUAAAUUGAGGAAAUUUAUAGGGUGUGUUAUAUUGAGUCCUUGUAAAUUUAUGCCCUCAGCUUGCUUCAUGUUCUCUACAAUAUGCAAGUAUAUAUAUAUCUGAGUUUUGUUGAGUUUUAUUUGGUACUCGUGGAGCUUCAUAUGUUUGUCAGUAUUCUGCCAAGCUUGCAGGGGUUAUAUGCUGAAUUGCUGAUGAUAGCAAUUUGUAAAUGGUUGUCUCCAGGAUUGGGAGUCAUGGCCUCCCAACUCAUCUGCAGCCCGCAGAUAACUUGUGCAAGUGAUACGACCAUAGGAUUGUGCGAAAUAAAAGCCCGGUGGCUGUAUCUUUGCACUGUUUUUGCCUGAGCGUUGGCAAAAAAUUUGUUCAUAAUCAUGGUUUAAUGGCAAAUUGUCCCACCGUCAGGCAUUCACUUAUGGAAGUGGACUAAGCCAACAAGCCACUCCACUGGUUUAUCCAUGUUAACUAAUGUGUAAGCACCCAUAGCUUUGUACGAUGAAAUCAAUCUACGUGUGUGAAAAAACACGUAUACAGUGCUGGUUUACCCAAACUUUGCACAUAUAUUUUAUCCAGUUUAUUCUUUGUGCCAACUUCUAUGAUGGCGCGUCUCUAUUCUUCCUGACUGCUGGUGAAAAAAUUCUUGUAGUUCUCAUAUCCAUUGUUGGAUAAUAAUAGAAUGAAAUAUGUGCUUCUAAA